This 253-nucleotide ribosomal RNA is filed under the name uncultured bacterium. RNAcentral's name for it is "partial 16S ribosomal RNA". It matches the Rfam family "Bacterial small subunit ribosomal RNA", at positions 524 to 776 of the family's 1533-position model. The record is from RNAcentral.
UACGUAGGGGGCGAGCGUUGUCCGAAGUUACUGGGCGUAAAGCGCGCGUAGGCGGCUUUGCAAGUCGGGUGUGAAAUCCCCAGGCUUAACCUGGGAACUGCAUUCGAGACUGCAUUGCUAGAGUAUGGGAGAGGGAAGUGGAAUUUCCGGUGUAGCGGUGAAAUGCGUAGAUAUCGGAAGGAACAUCAGUGGCGAAAGCGACUUCCUGGACCAAUACUGACGCUCAUGUGCGAAAGCGUGGUGAGCAAACAGG